GACCCCGUAGCUCAGCUGGAUAGAGCAGCGGACUUCUAAUCCGCAGGUCGCAGGUUCGAAUCCUGCCGGGGUCGCCA
This 77-nucleotide transfer RNA is filed under the name Rhodospirillaceae bacterium. RNAcentral's name for it is "tRNA-Arg". It matches the Rfam family "tRNA". Rfam says of the family: Transfer RNA (tRNA) molecules are approximately 80 nucleotides in length. Their secondary structure includes four short double-helical elements and three loops (D, anti-codon, and T loops). The record is from RNAcentral. Lineage: Bacteria; Pseudomonadati; Pseudomonadota; Alphaproteobacteria; Rhodospirillales; Rhodospirillaceae. RNAcentral also lists the same sequence under 4 other names.